GAUGAACGCUAGCGGCAGGCUUAACACAUGCAAGUCGAACGGUAGAGUAGCAAUACUUGAGAGUGGCGAACGGGUGAGUAAUAUAUCGGAACGUGCCCAGUCGUGGGGGAUAACGUAGAGAAAUUUACGCUAAUACCGCAUACGAUCUAUGGAUGAAAGCGGGGGAUCGCAAGACCUCGCGCGAUUGGAGCGGCCGAUAUCAGAUUAGGUAGUUGGUGAGGUAAAGGCUCACCAAGCCGACGAUCUGUAGCUGGUCUGAGAGGACGACCAGCCACACUGGGACUGAGACACGGCCCAGACUCCUACGGGAGGCAGCAGUGGGGAAUUUUGGACAAUGGGCGAAAGCCUGAUCCAGCAAUGCCGCGU
RNAcentral lists this ribosomal RNA (366 nucleotides) under uncultured bacterium. RNAcentral describes it as "bacterial SSU rRNA". It matches the Rfam family "Bacterial small subunit ribosomal RNA", at positions 28 to 402 of the family's 1533-position model. The record is from RNAcentral.